CUGCCCAUAGCUCAGUUGGAUAGAGCAACGGCCUUCUAAGCCGUAGGUCGCAGGUUCGACUCCUGCUGGGCAGGCCA
RNAcentral lists this transfer RNA (77 nucleotides) under Noviherbaspirillum sp. Root189. RNAcentral's name for it is "tRNA-Arg". It matches the Rfam family "tRNA". Rfam says of the family: Transfer RNA (tRNA) molecules are approximately 80 nucleotides in length. Their secondary structure includes four short double-helical elements and three loops (D, anti-codon, and T loops). Further hydrogen bonds mediate the characteristic L-shaped molecular structure. tRNAs have two regions of fundamental functional importance: the anti-codon, which is responsible for specific mRNA codon recognition, and the 3' end, to which the tRNAs corresponding amino acid is attached (by aminoacyl-tRNA synthetases). tRNAs cope with the degeneracy of the genetic code in two manners: having more than one tRNA (with a specific anti-codon) for a particular amino acid; and 'wobble' base-pairing, i.e. permitting non-standard base-pairing at the 3rd anti-codon position. Lineage: Bacteria; Pseudomonadati; Pseudomonadota; Betaproteobacteria; Burkholderiales; Oxalobacteraceae. RNAcentral also lists the same sequence under 11 other names. The record is from RNAcentral.